This 999-nucleotide ribosomal RNA is filed under the name Triticum aestivum (bread wheat). RNAcentral describes it as "partial small subunit ribosomal RNA". The record is from RNAcentral. Lineage: Eukaryota; Viridiplantae; Streptophyta; Magnoliopsida; Poales; Poaceae.
AUGGCGUUUAUGGGGCGGAUGGCGGGCAGUCGCAUUUUCUCAGAGCUGUGCGGCUCGAUCGUGAAUCUGAGGAUGUACUCCUCAAGGGUGGACUGGAAGCAGCUGCGGCCCAUGAUUCUAAAGAGGAUCAAGAACCGUACAAAGGAUUAUCCUAUCAAGCGAAUGAUCCCGGUAGCCCAGGAGGUGGUCAGGGCCAGAGAAAUUCUCACGGAAGGCGUCUCAAUACUUCUCAGAGCUGUCCCUGUACAUUCAUGCAAGUUUUGUCCUGCAAUUCAUGUUGGAGCAAUGGCACAUCAGAUGAAAACAUGUCAUGGUUUCAAACGUAUGAUCAAGGAUCGACCUCACCAAUGGGGCCCGGGCGGCUUGAAUAACAUCCUUGUCCCUGUUGAGGCCUUCCAUCAGGAAAACAUGUUUCAGGAUGAGAUAAGGCAUGACCAGAGGUUCGACUUCACUCGUGUCCCGGCUGUACUCGAGCUAUGUCAUCAGGCAGGUGCAGAGCUACCUGAAGGACUCCUAUACAGACGUGAUGAGCUAUGUACGGCAGCUGAAGCUAACAACCAAAAUCCUGCCCCUUUGCUAUCUUCUGAACUUAGAUUGGUAGGUCAAAGAACACUGGAAGCAUGGGAAAGGCUCAGAUUAGGUGUGACAAAACUCCUAUUGGUCUACCCAUCCAAAGUGUGCGAGAAUUGCUCUGAAGUGCAUGUUGGGAUAUCAGGGCAUAAGGCCAGGAUGUGUGGAGUAUUUAAGUUUGAGGGCUGGCGGGGAAAACACAAGUGGAAGAAGGCUGGAGUGGAUGACCUGGUUCCUCAAAAGAUUGUGUGGCAUCAACGGCCUCAUGACCCACCAAUUCUGGUGGACAGUGGGCGAGAUUAUUAUGGUCAUGCUCCUGCUGUUGUGGAGCUUUGUGUGCAAGUAGGUGCAAGAGCAUCACCAAAAUAUAAUUGCAUGAUGAAGGAGCAUGGCUUAGCACCACCUGUUCAAAGAGACCAGGCCACAUAA